GAUGAACGCUGGCGGCGUGCCUAAUACAUGCAAGUCGAGCGAACGGACGAGAAGCUUGCUUCUCUGAUGUUAGCGGCGGACGGGUGAGUAACACGUGGAUAACCUACCUAUAAGACUGGGAUAACUUCGGGAAACCGGAGCUAAUACCGGAUAAUAUUUUGAACCGCAUGGUUCAAAAGUGAAAGACGGUCUUGCUGUCACUUAUAGAUGGAUCCGCGCUGCAUUAGCUAGUUGGUAAGGUAACGGCUUACCAAGGCAACGAUGCAUAGCCGACCUGAGAGAGUGAUGGGCAACAGGGGAGGUGGAACAGGUCCCGGCCUCCUGGGGGAGGAACCAGAAGGGAAUGUCCCGCAGGGGGGGAAAACCGGACGGAGCAGCGCGGCGUGGGAGAGAAGGGUUUUGGGAUCGAAAAACUUUUUUAUUGGGGAAAAACAUAUGUAUAAGUAAAUGUACACGUCUGGAGGUAACGUACUAAAAAAGCCCGGGCUAACUACGCG
RNAcentral lists this ribosomal RNA (497 nucleotides) under uncultured bacterium. RNAcentral describes it as "partial 16S ribosomal RNA". It matches the Rfam family "Bacterial small subunit ribosomal RNA", at positions 28 to 507 of the family's 1533-position model. The record is from RNAcentral.